UAUUAAUAGUUAUAAUGUGUGUAACAUAUUAACAUUAUUAGUAAUACUGACAUUUGGCUGUCCAAACCUAGUUCCAUUUGCAUAGUUAUUAUUGCAAAUGGAGCUUGAACUAGUUUCAUUGCAAGAGUCCAUUGCAUGGUUCGCGGUACCGACCUAAAUCGGACGGUACAGGAUGUACCGUACUAUACCAGUUUUGUAUCGGUUUCCGAUACGGAUGGCGUGCCGACACUCGAUAUGGUUUGCGUACCAACAUUCGGUACGCCGAAAAGAUUUCAUACUGUACUAGAUGGUGUACCGAUACUCGGUACGUCGAAAAGAUUCCGUACUGUACCGAUACCGUACUAGUGUGGCACCAGUAUGGGGUGCGGUAUCGAGACGACGAAUCUUGGUCCAUUUGUUCUAUAUGUGGCCCCAGAAAUUUUACUUGCAAUUAAUUAGUGUUGCAAAUGGAGCUUGAGAGAGUUUCAUUGCAUGAGCCCAUGGGCCGCAUAUGUCGCCCCACAAUGCCAAGCAUGCUACGUAUGGCAUAAUGCUAAGCAAGCCUCAUAUGCAGGGCUGCAUAUAUAGCCACAAAAUGUUAGGUGGAUUGCUUUUAAGGCCUAUAUGUGGCAAGCAAUGUAGUAUGGGUGGUUAGUAUGGUUGGGAACCACCUUUACAUAUGCAGCCAUACUCUACAUUUUAAAAUCCUGAUCUAAACAUGGCUUGGUUUCCUUUUAGGACAUGAUUUUAUACUUGGGCCCAAUCGAUUUGCUGACUAGGUUGGAUCGGGCUGAGUCCAUGAAAAUUGUUUGGACCCAUCCAGCCUGCGGUAGGUCUUGCAUGAUCCAUAUAUUUGGGUCCACAUUAUGUUGGACCUAGCUUUGGUCAAGUGCAAGAGGAAAGAAAAGUUCACUUGAGAGUUCAGGUGGAUACAAAGUUUAGAAGAAUAAAAAAGGUUUCGGUAUGGAUUGCUCCCACUAAUUUUGUCAAGAAAGAUGCAAUUUAAGUAUUUAACCCUAGUCCUCAACUUACAAAGGAACAUCCUCAAUACCCCUACAAACCAAAAGUGCAUGAUUAAUGAAGGACCACCUGAGGGAAGCAUUUAAAUGCUGUCCUAAAAUGACUUGAAUGCAAAACAGCAAGCAAUAUGAAUGAGUCUGAAAGCUAAACCUAUGACAAACCUCAAAUAUAGGAGACUAGAUGUUCCUAAAUGAGAAAAAAUGCAUGAUCUAGUUAAGAACAGAAACAACAAUGCAGUAGAAUGUAAAAAAUUGUCUAAACUAAACCUAAGAAUGAUAUUAAAUGUGUAUGCUGCAAAUAUGGCUUCUAAUUAAAUCAUAGCAACAGUAGGGGAACAAAUAGACCCUAGGAAAUAAGGAGAGAUGCAGAUCUGAUGUGGGAAGAAGUAGAAGGAGAAAGGAAGAAAGGAUAACUACCGAACUUGCUUUGGAGGAGCUCUCACACCUUGAUUACGUGAAAUGCAGGAAGAAGACGAAGGGAACAGCAGUUUUUUAAUUAUUUCACUGUGCAACCAUCAUAAUAAAGUAUUUUUAUGGUCGGCCACUAUUUGUAACAUGAAAUGGCACUUUUGUAGGACCCCUUCUAACUAAUAUGAUUACAAUAAAGUCCUUGAAAAUUUUAGAGCAAGUCCUUCAAACUUAGAAUUCAUAGAUAUCUCAAUCUAAUAUAAAACCAAAAUAAACAGAGCGAAACACUUGAUGAAAUUUGAUGCUAAACAUAAUCUAAAAUCUAAUGACCUUCUAUUUGUGAGCACGCAUUUCUUCAUUGAUACCAUUGCUAGGUCUUAAAAUCUUUUUGAACUCCAUUAAUGAUAGAGUUGUUAGUCUCGAAGUCAGGGGAUCUUGGGUUAAGUUGGGAUGGGUCGGGCUAGACCAGCUUGGGUUGUCUAAUGUUUGACUUUGACCUUACUAGUCCAUGGGUUUGCUUAUGCUGGCUUGUGCAAGAAAAUAGACCUAUAUCCAUCUUGUUAUCUAGGUCAUAUUCUGGAUGUAAAAUUGUCUCUUGAGCCUAAAUGAUUGGGUCUGGUUGGACCUAACCAUGUUGGAACUGUGUUGGGCCACGAGUUAGCCUGACCUUUUUCAACCUUAGGGGCGUCGUAUGAGUCAUAUUCUGGAUGUAAAAUUGUCUCUUGAGCCUAAAUGAUUGGGUCUGGUUGGACCUAACCAUGUUGGAACUGUGUUGGGCCACGAGUUAGCCUGACCUUUUUCAACCUUAGGGGCGUCGUAUGAGAAUCGUGAAAGUGUACCUUUGAUUGUGGCGGCAAACAACUGCUAGCUUUAUAUCUUCAUGCUUUUUGCCUCACCUUCUUCUGCCACCUCUCCUUAUACACUUUCCUAGUGCUCUUGCUCUUGCUGGUCUCCUGUUCCCCCUCUUUUUCCUCUACUCUUCUCCUCAUGUGUUUCUAGCUCCUCUUUUUCUUGUGUUGUUUCUCCUUUCCUCUAGCUUACUACCUACUUGUUUCUUCCUCUUCCUUCUCUGCUUCUUUCCUCCAAUUGCUUAUGGGCUAUGUAGUCCCUUGACUGUGUUGCCCCUUUUCAAAUUAUUAUUGCACCUCUCCUCUCCUCUUGACUCCUUACCUCCCCUUUUUCCUCCACCCCUCCACUAUUGGGUGUUCCAUCUCAUAGAUGCUCUUCGUUGUCAUGUCACCUUUCUCCACCAUUAUAUGCUGUUUGGCGUUGGCAACUCCCAAUCAUGCAAUUUAAUCCGCUCCCAUCUCAUUGUCCAUGCCAGACUAUCCUUCUCCUUAGAAGGUUUGCAUACAAUUGGUGAUAGCUACCAUCCACAUUAUCCUUGUCCUAAACCCAGUUCUCUCUCCAUUUUGAUUUGGCUAGGUUUGUGCUAAUUUGAAAAUCUAAUAUAGGUGCGUCUGGGCUUGCCCUUGAUAGUUCAGGUUGACUGGGGCUGACCCAUCAGCAAUUGCGCUGCCAUUGUUGUUUAAGAGUUUAAAUUAUGGGUUUGCCAAUAUAUACAUCUAGGUUCCACAAGCUGGAAGAGCUUGGAAGUCGAAUUGGCUUUUCCACAUUGGAGUUUUUAUAGCUCUUGUGAUGCAGGGUUCCACAUGCUAUUGCUGCUUUGCAAUUCAGUCUCUUACUACUGAUUUGAUCUCAACUGGUGUUGGGUGUGAACUAAAUUCAUUGUUGAAGUGCUCUCAGGAUUUUAUAUCAUUGCGCUGAACAAAAAAAAAUCUUGGGGACUUGGAACUUGUUCACCAUAUCGUCUAUUUGGAAAUGGAUCACGACAUUGUCCUCCUUUCAGAAACUUUCGACAAUCUCAUUUGUAUUUUCUUAAAUGCAUCCUAUUUCUCAUAUAUAUUUAACUAGGUCAUAUUUAUAAGUUGUAUAACCUCUAUGUUUUGGCCUUUAUGCUUUUCUCAUUGUGUCAUACAUGUCUGACUUCCUUGAUGAUGUUGCGACUAUGAGGACCUGUGCCGGCGUGUGUUUAGUCUCACAUCGGUUAUUCGCUGGGUAGAUUUUGGAUGCUUAUACAGGAUUAAGGAAUCCAAAUAAUACCUUCUGGCUAGCCAUUUUGGGUGAGGUCCUGCGUUGUUAUAAAUGAUAUCAGAGUGGACCCAGCCUAUAACCUAUGUGAAUUAGGGGACACUGCAGCAUGGAUCCAUUGAGGCUGACCACGGGCCGAUCGUGGUGCUUGUGAUUAGAUUUGAAUGGAUUUGAACCCUUUGCCUGAAGAAGACGUC
This 3694-nucleotide long non-coding RNA is filed under the name Phoenix dactylifera (date palm). RNAcentral describes it as "long non-coding RNA (PDAC_LNC005973)". Lineage: Eukaryota; Viridiplantae; Streptophyta; Magnoliopsida; Arecales; Arecaceae. The record is from RNAcentral.